AUUGAACGCUGGCGGCAGGCCUAACACAUGCAAGUCGAGCGGAUGAAGGGAGCUUGCUCCUGGAUUCAGCGGCGGACGGGUGAGUAAUGCCUAUGAAUCUGCCUGGUAGUGGGGGAUAACGUCCGGAAACGGGCGCUAAUACCGCAUACGUCCUGAGGGAGAAAGUGGGGGAGCUUCGGACCUCACGCUAUCAGAUGAGCCUAGGUCGGAUUAGCUAGUGGGUGGGGUAAAGGCCUACCAAGGCGACGAUCCGUAACUGGUCUGAGAGGAUGAUCAGUCACACUGGAACUGAGACACGGUCCAGACUCCUACGGGAGGCAGCAGUGGGGAAUAUUGGACAAUGGGCGAAAGCCUGAUCCAGCCAUGCCGCGUGUGUGAAGAAGGUCUUCGGAUUGUAAAGCACUUUAAGUUGGGAGGAAGGGCAGUAAGUUAAUACCUUGCUGUUUUGACGUUACCAACAGAAUAAGCACCGGCUAACUUCGUG
Molecule: ribosomal RNA, 484 nt
Filed under: uncultured bacterium
Lineage: Bacteria
Description: partial 16S ribosomal RNA
Rfam family: Bacterial small subunit ribosomal RNA
Source: RNAcentral